This 919-nucleotide ribosomal RNA is filed under the name uncultured bacterium. RNAcentral describes it as "bacterial SSU rRNA". It matches the Rfam family "Bacterial small subunit ribosomal RNA", at positions 8 to 916 of the family's 1533-position model. The record is from RNAcentral.
AGAGUUUGAUCCUGGCUCAGGACGAACGCUGGCGGCGUGCUUAAUACAUGCAAGUCGAGCGAGGUUACUGUUUCGGAUCCCUUCGGGGUGAAGAAGCUUUAACCUAGCGGCGGACGGGUGAGUAACGCGUGGGUAACCUACCCCAAAGUCCGGGAUAACAGCGGGAAACCGCUGCUAAUACCGGAUGCCUUUACCUUGGGGCAUCUUGAGGUAAAGAAAGGUAACGCUUUGGGAUGGGCCCGCGUCCCAUUAGCUAGUUGGUGAGGUAACGGCUCACCAAGGCGACGAUGGGUAGCCGGCCUGAGAGGGUGGACGGCCACACUGGGACUGAGACACGGCCCAGACUCCUACGGGAGGCAGCAGUAGGGAAUAUUGCGCAAUGGACGGAAGUCUGACGCAGCGACGCCGCGUGAGCGAUGAAGGUCUUCGGAUCGUAAAGCUCUGUCCUUGGGGAAGAAGGUCUUCGGACUUGACGGUACCCAAGAAGAAAGCCCCGGCUAACUACGUGCCAGCAGCCGCGGUAAUACGUAGGGGGCGAGCGUUGUCCGGAAUUACUGGGCGUAAAGGGUGCGUAGGCGGCCCUUUAAGUCGGAUGUGAAAGCCCGCGGCUUAACCGCGGAAUGGCAUUCGAAACUGGAGGGCUUGAGUGUCGGAGAGGGUAGUGGAAUUCCCAGUGUAGCGGUGAAAUGCGUAGAUAUUGGGAGGAACACCAGUGGCGAAGGCGACUACCUGGACGAUAACUGACGCUGAGGCACGAAAGCUAGGGGAGCAAACAGGAUUAGAUACCCUGGUAGUCCUAGCCGUAAACGAUGGGUACUANGGUGUGGGUGGUUUCGAUACCAUCCGUGCCGUANUUAACGCAUUAAGUACCCCGCCUGGGGAGUACGUGCGCAAGCAUGAAACUCAAAUGAAUUGACGG